Molecule: long non-coding RNA, 295 nt
Organism: Myotis brandtii (Brandt's bat)
Lineage: Eukaryota; Metazoa; Chordata; Mammalia; Chiroptera; Vespertilionidae
Exons: 2
Source: RefSeq, a predicted model, not a curated record
AGGGCCCAGCCCUCUGUAUUUUCAUAAAGUCUGAGAAGCAUAAUGGUCCUCUCCCUCUCUAGGGAAAGGCAACAUAGUUCGUACCAUGAAGUUGGGCUCAGACCUUUGACAAUACCAGUGGGAUGGCGAUGAUUUCAUUUCCUGUCCAGCGGAGAAGACAGCCCCACAGAGCGUGGUUUUACCGCUCUCUUGGAGACUGACCAGUUCAAAGCCAUCAUGAGAGAGACAUUUUUGAUGUAUGCUUCCAGCAUGAUAACUUCACAUAGGAUGUAAUAAAACAGCAUGUGCAACAGGA